This 255-nucleotide ribosomal RNA is filed under the name uncultured bacterium. Its description in RNAcentral is "partial 16S ribosomal RNA". It matches the Rfam family "Bacterial small subunit ribosomal RNA", at positions 524 to 776 of the family's 1533-position model. The record is from RNAcentral.
UGCGUAGGGGGCGAGCGUUGUCCGAAGUUACUGGGCGUAAAGAGCUCGUAGGCGGUUAGACAAGUCGGGUGUGAAAGCUCGAGGCUCAACCUCGAGACGCCACUCGAUACUGUUUUUGACUGGAGUCCGGUAGAGGAGUGCGGAAUUCCUGGUGUAGUGGUGAAAUGCGCAGAUAUCAGGAGGAACACCAACGGCGAAGGCAGCCAUCUGGACCGACACUGACGCUGAGGCGCGAAAGCGUGGGGAGCGAACAGG